Molecule: ribosomal RNA, 635 nt
Filed under: uncultured bacterium
Lineage: Bacteria
Description: bacterial SSU rRNA
Rfam family: Bacterial small subunit ribosomal RNA
Source: RNAcentral
AGAGUUUGAUCCUGGCUCAGGAUGAACGCUGGCGGCGUGCUUAACACAUGCAAGUCGAGCGAAGCACUUUUUUAGAACUCUUCGGAGGGAAGAGAGGGUGACUUAGCGGCGGACGGGUGAGUAACGCGUGGGCAACCUGCCUUACACAGGGGGAUAACAAUUAGAAAUGAUUGCUAAUACCGCAUAAGACCCCAGUACCGCAUGGUACAGAGGUAAAAACUGAGGUGGUGUAAGAUGGGCCCGCGUCUGAUUAGGUAGUUGGUGGGGUAGAAGCCUACCAAGCCGACGAUCAGUAGCCGACCUGAGAGGGCGACCGGCCACAUUGGGACUGAGACACGGCCCAAACUCCUACGGGAGGCAGCAGUGGGGAAUAUUGCACAAUGGGGGAAACCCUGAUGCAGCGACGCCGCGUGAGUGAGGAAGUAUUUCGGUAUGUAAAGCUCUAUCAGCAGGGAAGAAAAUGACGGUACCUGACUAAGAAGCCCCGGCUAACUACGUGCCAGCAGCCGCGGUAAUACGUAGGGGGCAAGCGUUAUCCGGAUUUACUGGGUGUAAAGGGAGCGUAGACGGAUAAGCAAGUCUGAUGUGAAAAUCCGGGGCCCAACCCCGGAAUUGCAUUGGAAACUGCAUAUCUA